Lagenorhynchus albirostris (white-beaked dolphin) is the source of this 4199-nucleotide long non-coding RNA. RefSeq lists it as uncharacterized. The transcript has 2 exons. Lineage: Eukaryota; Metazoa; Chordata; Mammalia; Artiodactyla; Delphinidae. The record is from RefSeq and is a predicted model, not a curated record.
GAAGAAGCCGCGCGAGGCCGGGCGCGCAGGAGGGGCUCGCGAAGUGUACGCGCAAGGGCUUUCUCGCGCAUGUGCGGAGUGGGCUGUUGUCGUGCGACGCCCAGGAGCUGCUAGAACUGAGCGGACGGCUGUUAGCCGCGGCCGGGGCGUUUUCUCAGCUCAGCGUUGCAACCCGAAGGCUUGACCGGCCUCGUUCUCCGCGGGACUAGGGAGCCUGGGGUGUUCCUGCCCCGGUCAAGGCCUGUUUCCUCCUCGCGGGGCGGCGGUAAGGAAAAUACGAGAGCCUCCCGCUCGAUUUCUUUCCCUCGAUCAAACGUUUUGAUAAGGAAGACUUCAGGGCGAGCGGACCCCACCCGCACCCCCGCCGGCCUCAGACUGAGUGCGCCUCUUUGGGGCUCGUGUGGCUUCUGUGCAGUCAUUCAAGCAGCGGGGAAGGAGUGAGCGUCCAGGACCUACGGGUGCUGGGCCUUCUACACUGCGCGUCCGGAGGGCAGGGCGCCAUCCUGCAAGAUGCAUUUACGUUGCAUCCAAAACGAUGAUGGUAAAGAUAACGCAUGCUAAUUGUGGGGAAAAUUAACAAGCCGCAGCAAACAUUAGGGAAAUGUAGACUGUGGACUUGCCCCGUAAUGUGACUCUCGCCGUUAACAUUAACACUUUAGUUGGCUAUACCUCUGUAUUUUAUGAAAAUAUAUAUCUUUGUGUUUUAGAUACAUUUCUUUUUUGUUGCUACGUAACUUCUGACGCUUAUGGAUUGUCUCCUGUACGUCAGAUAUUGCCUUAGACCAGAGGCUGGCAAACGUUUUCUAUAAAGGGCCAGAUAGCAAAUAUUUUAGGCUCUUCUGGCCAAGAGCCAAAAUUGAGGCUAUUGUGUAGUGCUUAUAUAACCAAAGAGAAAAAUGUCCAGAACACUUUUAUUGGUGGAAUAUAAAAUAUAGCAAUUGAGUACAGUUUAAAUAAUUUAGGUCUAAUGAGAAGAAUGGAAUGCUUUUCUGGGGAUUCCAAGUCAGUCUUUCCUGUCAUCAAUUGAUUGCAAAUGUUCACCUGUAAAGACCAUUCUUGGUUCACAAAAAGGCAGGCUGGGGCUUCCCUGGUGGUGCAGUGGUUGAGAGUCCGCCUGCCGAUGCAGGGGACGCGUGUUCGUGCCCCGGUCCUGGAAGAUCCCACAUGCCGUGGAGCGGCUGGGCCCGUGAGCCAUGGCCGCUGAGCCUGCGCGUCCGGAGCCUGUGCUCCGCAACGGGAGAGGCCACAACAGUGAGAGGCCCGCGUACCACAAAAAAACAACAAAAAAAAGGCAGGUUGGAUGUUGCUUGUGGAUGAAACAAUGAACAAGUCAGACCUAAGUUCUUGCUCUCAUGAGCCCACGGUCUGGGUAGGCAGAGAGACCCAUAGAUCAGUAAACAAAUAUAUCAUCUCAAAGGUGUUAUUGAGGAAAACAGAGGGUGCUAAGACCAUGAUAAGGUAGGAGGGUGGUGCCUACACUGAUAGGGUUAUCUGAGAAGGCCCUUGGGCGGUGAGGUUUGCACUGAGAUCCCACUCCGGAACCAGCUAUGUGAACAGUCCAGGCAGGGGGAAUGUUCUGUUUAGUAAAUGCUCAGUAAUCUGGAUAGUGUGAUUUUUCCAUGCCAGUAAAGAACUGUAUCAAGAAGCUUUAACUUCUGAUCCACCACGGAUAGAUUUCAGAGAUAGCACUCGUUUUUGUGAGUUGAAGAUACACAGCACUUAUCAGAUUCUUAACGGGAUCUGUGAACCAAAACACGUUACAAAUCUGGUCAUUUUUAAUGACUGCAUAGAACAAUGUGGUGUGGAUUUACCAUAAUUUUUUGAAGCCAGACACCAUGGAGUCUCUUGAGUUGGUUCUACUUUUAAACCACUAUUAAAAGUUUUAGUGUAUACAUAGAUCUUGUGGUCAAAGGGUUUGCACUUUUAAUGCUGACGUUGCUCAACUGUCCACCAGAAAGGUUGUACACCCAUGACUACUGCUAUCAUACAUUCAUCUCAUAGUGUUUAAAAUGCCAUUUGAGACUGGAUAUGUAAGCAUCACAAGGCCUCCCCCAGGCUCCUUUCAGUGGGCCAAAUCAGAAUUCGUUGGUCAGGAGAAAGCAGUAGAGAGAGUUGCUAGAAGUAGAGGCUCCUGCAGACCGACAUGGUCUCCAAGGACCUGGGAACAAAACUCUUAAGUAAGCAAGUAAAAUGCACCCCCCUUGGUGAGAUGAACUUGCUGAGGGGCCCACCUAACAAGGAAAAAGGAAAGAAUUUAAAACCCACACGCAUACCCACUUCGGUCCUGCAAAUGUGCUGUGAGGAAUUUAUCCUAGAUUAGAAGCAUGUGCAACAUUGUGCGCUGCAAACUCAUCCCAUUAAAAUAGUAUUUAAUGUGCAGCAGUAGGGGUUGGUUAAUUGUAGCACAUCUUAUAAUACCAUGUACACAGACAGAAUCAAGGGAUAUUUAGUAACAAGGGAAAUGUUUCUAGCAUAUUUUUUUAAAGCAGUUUACAAAAUAAUAUGCACAGUAUGCCAGUUUUGAAAAAAGUGCAUAUAUCCUCUCCAGCGGCAACUGCUGUGUCCAGCUUCCUGUGUAUCUUUUCAGAAAUAAACUAUUCACAAGCACCUUUAUAUAUCUCAGCGAUAUAUUUUGGAAGUUGUUCUUUAUCCCAUUCUUUUUGACAUCUGUAUAGUCUAGAUAAUUUUUUGGCUUUAAUAAUUUUUUUCUAACUUAAAAAAUAUAUAGACUAUAAAAAUAUAUAGACCAGAAAAGUUGUUACUAAAAAAAGUAGGGGGUUGACUGAGGAAAUCUAGGCCCAUCUAGACCUAUGGUCUCAGUAAAGCAAAGCUUGGUGUGACUGUCACCUCAUCUGCAGUAACUGAAUCCCAUGUGAUCAACUAGCUGAAGCCAUGGCAGGAGGAAUGUCCUGUGGGAACAGAGAAGGUGGUCCUGUCCUGUCCUAGACAUGAGCAUUCCUUGGGCCUGAUCAUGUGUCACCAAACGAACUUCUGGUCACAAAGGAGCUGCCCUGGGGAGAGAAAGGAGGAGUCCAGUGUCUGGGAGCAGACAUCCCUGAGGAGGGGUUCGGGCUCUGGCAUCUGAGCAAUGAGGCUGUCCUUAAACCUGGCCCUGCCUGACUUAUAAGGCAGUGACACCAUCCCCAGUAGAGCCUCUUGAGGCCCUGCUGGAACCACAGCAGACAACUGCAAAGUGACUUGGGUCAUCUGGACAUCAGGGCUCCUUCAGGGUCUUACUUUAGCAGUGUGGCCGAGGCAACUGAAUUGAAAGGAUCCCCUUUGAUUGCACCAGCUCCUCUUCGGAGUGUAUGACAAACGUGAGGAAAAACAAAACCACUCACUUCAUUGAGGCUGCUUUGCAGGGCAAAGGGCCCUGGGCUUGGAGUCAGACACUUGGGUUCCAGGCGUGUUCCAUGGGCCAAGCCUGACUUUCUCUGUUGCCAUUUCCCUCUGUAAAAUAGGGCUAAUACCUGCCUUUUGGGUCCUGAUAGUUAAACAAGCAUAUAUAAUAUAAAAUGUGCAAAUAAAAUACUCUGUGAAUUGAAAAUGCAAGCCAAAACAUUCCCAUAUGCCGCUUGAAUAAUUACCCUGUACUUCCUUUAGCAUUUUCUGCCCCGCCUCCAACACAGCACUUGUGUGCUCCUUAGUCACACAUCCAUAAAUUAAGCUGAGUGCUCUGAGGGUAGAAGGCUUACGUAUCUGUUUCCUGUACUUGGCACAAUAUGGCAGUUUUGAAAAAAGUGCAUAUAUCCUCUCCAGAGGCAACUGCUGUGUCCGGCUUCCUGUGUAUCCUUUCAGAGAUAAACUAUUCACAAGCACCUUUAUAUAUCUCAGCGAUAUAUUUUGGUGCUCAGUAAAUCACUGAACAAAAGGAUUGUGAAUUAAAAGGAUGUGGGCACUUGUUUUAGGAGAAACUCCUACCCAUCAACUGUGAUUGAAGGAAAUUGUCUGUUGGGAGUGGUUUCUGAGUAGUAUGGGGGGAAAUGGGCUUGGAGGCAGACUUCAGUGUGAUCCUGGACAAAUGACUUAACCCCUCUGGGCCUCACAAGGUGAAGAGUAAUCCUUUGUGGAUUGUGUGUGAAAAGCCCACACGUAGCAGGUACUCUGUUGUUCCUCAUACAGAUGUAAGCACAGCUCUCACAACAUUCUUGGAUUUUCCAUGUUAUUCUGUUCAAUAAAGGCAUGUCAUUAACUGUUAA